UGCCUGAUGGAGGGGGAUAACUACUGGAAACGGUAGCUAAUACCGCAUAACGUCGCAAGACCAAAGAGGGGGACCUUCGGGCCUCUUGCCCUCAGAUGUGCCCAGAUGGGAUUAGCUAGUAGGUGGGGUAACGGCUCACCUAGGCGACGAUCCCUAGCUGGUCUGAGAGGAUGACCAGCCACACUGGAACUGAGACACGGUCCAGACUCCUACGGGAGGCAGCAGUGGGGAAUAUUGCACAAUGGGCGCAAGCCUGAUGCAGCCAUGCCGCGUGUAUGAAGAACGCCUUCGGGUUGUAAAGUACUUUCAGCGGGGAGGAAGGUGUUGUGGUUAAUAACCACAGCAUUUGACGUUACCCGCAGAAGAAGCACCGGCUAACUCCGUGCCAGCAGCCGCGGUAAUACAGAGGGUGCAAGCGUUACUCGGAUUUACUGGGCGUAAAGCGCACACAGGCGGUCUGUCAAGUCAGAUGUGAAAUCCCCGGGCUCAACCUGGGAACUGCAUUCGAAACUGGCAGGCUAGAGUCUUGUAGAGGGGGGUAGAAUUCCAGGUGUAGCUGUGAUAUGCGUAGAGAUCUGGAAGAAUACCGGUGGCGAACGCGGCCCCCUGGACAAACACUGACGCUCAUGUGCGAAAGCGUGGAGAGCAUACAGGAUUAGAUACCCUGGUAGUCCACGCCGUACACGAUGUCCACUUGGAGGUUGUGCUCUUGACGCGUGUCUUCCGGAUCUAACGCGUUAAGUCGACCGCCUGGAGAGUACGGCCGCAAGGUUAAAACUCAUAUGAAUUGACGGGANUCCCACACAAUCGGUGGAGCAUGUGGUUUAAUUCGAUGCAACGCGAAGAAUCUUACCUACUCUUGACAUCCAUAGAACUUUCCAGAGAUGGAUUGGUGCCUUCGGGAACUCUGAAAACAGGUGCUGCAUGGUUGUCAUCAGCUCGUGUUGUGAAAUGUUGGGUUAAUUCCCG
Molecule: ribosomal RNA, 969 nt
Filed under: Enterobacter sichuanensis
Lineage: Bacteria; Pseudomonadati; Pseudomonadota; Gammaproteobacteria; Enterobacterales; Enterobacteriaceae
Description: bacterial SSU rRNA
Rfam family: Bacterial small subunit ribosomal RNA
Source: RNAcentral